CCUACGGGAGGCAGCAGUGCGGAAUAUUGGUCAAUGGACGAGAGCCUGAACCAGCCAAGUAGCGUGAAGGAUGACUGCCCUAUGGGUUGUAAACUUCUUUUAUAUGGGAAUAAGAUGGUCCACGUGUGGGAUUACGUAUGUACCAUAUGAAUAAGGAACGGCUAACGUCGUGCCAGCAGCCGCGGUAAUACGGAGGAUCCAAGCGUUAUCCGGAUUUAUUGGGUUUAAAGGGAGCGUAGGUGGAUUGUUAAGUCAGUUGUGAAGGUUUGCGGCUCAACCGUAGAAUUGCAGUUGAAACUGGCAGUCUUGAGUACAGUAGAGGUAGGUGGAAUUCCUUGUGUAGCGGUGAAAUGCGUAGAUAUUACGAAGAACACCAGUUGCGAAGGCAGCUCACUGGACUGUAACUGACGCUGAGGCUCGAAAGCGUGGGUAGCAAACAGGAUUAGAUACCCGUGUAGUC
RNAcentral lists this ribosomal RNA (460 nucleotides) under uncultured bacterium. Its description in RNAcentral is "partial 16S ribosomal RNA". It matches the Rfam family "Bacterial small subunit ribosomal RNA", at positions 338 to 795 of the family's 1533-position model. The record is from RNAcentral.